UGAUUUUCGGAGAUCAAAGCUAUUGAUUAGACUUUGACUCGCAAAAUAAGAAGUCACCACCGAACUUUAAUUUAUCCAAGGGAAGGGGAAAAGAUCGAAUAAAACCCACAAAUAAACAUGCAAAGCUAAAGAAGCAAUAAAGCAAUAAGCAAUGCAAUAAGAGAUCAAGGUACGGGGGUUGAUUAUGUAAAGGGAAGGUAUUAGCACCCUAAACAUUUAUAGUACUCUAUAGGAACCU
Molecule: long non-coding RNA, 238 nt
Filed under: Trifolium pratense (red clover)
Lineage: Eukaryota; Viridiplantae; Streptophyta; Magnoliopsida; Fabales; Fabaceae
Description: long non-coding RNA (TPRA_LNC013290)
Source: RNAcentral